GAAACGUUACCUGCUGAGGUAGAUUGAUCAGCGAGCUUGAUACCCCGUUCAAAAUCGUGAUCAGUAUACUUCGUCAGGCAGCUUGUUUU
Caenorhabditis elegans is the source of this 89-nucleotide microRNA precursor. Lineage: Eukaryota; Metazoa; Nematoda; Chromadorea; Rhabditida; Rhabditidae. The record is from Ensembl.